AAACUUUCAACAACGGAUCUCUUGGUUCUGGCAUCGAUGAAGAACGCAGCGAAAUGCGAUAAGUAAUGUGAAUUGCAGAAUUCAGUGAAUCAUCGAAUCUUUGAACGCACAUUGCACCCUCUGGUAUUCCGGGGGGUAUGCCUGUUCGAGCGUCAUUG
RNAcentral lists this ribosomal RNA (158 nucleotides) under uncultured fungus. RNAcentral's name for it is "5.8S ribosomal RNA". It matches the Rfam family "5.8S ribosomal RNA". Rfam says of the family: 5.8S ribosomal RNA (5.8S rRNA) is a component of the large subunit of the eukaryotic ribosome. It is transcribed by RNA polymerase I as part of the 45S precursor that also contains 18S and 28S rRNA. Lineage: Eukaryota; Fungi. The record is from RNAcentral.